ACUAAACAUUGGGUUUAAUAAAGUCAGUAUUUCUCAAAGUGGAACAGUGAAUUUUUUUUUCAAUUUUUUACAAAUCGUCAUUUUGGGAAAAUUUCUCAGAUCAAAGUAACAGUUAAGAUAGAAUUGUGCUCAACCAAGCCAUUUAUCUGCACUACAGAAUAGUACUUGAAAGCAAUCCUAGUCAGAUUAAAACCAUUUUGAGAGACAAGACUUGUGUUUACAGCUACCUCAAAAGAGGUAGUUUUCCUUCCACAGUCAAAGCUCAGUUAAGAUUGACUAAUCUUUUUUUCCCUUGUCAUAUCUUCAGUUCAAAACAUAUCAUCACUGGUAAUACGGUCUGUAUCUUGUUUGAUCUGGAUGAUGCGGUCCAGGUAGUGGGGUUUGAGAAGGUGGGCCCUGCAUUCGUGGAGGAGGAGGUGGCCCUCUUGGUGCAGGCCAUAUACCAGGACUCAUUCCUCCUGGUUGUGUAAAUGGAGGGCUCAGAGUUCCUUGGUCUUCAGUAAACUGGGGUAAAGAGUUAGGAUUGUAAUGGUGAGGAGGGGGUGCAGUUACAGGUGGACCACCAUGCUGAGGUGGCAUCUGGGCAAUAAUAUGUCCAGGGGGAGGGGUUAUUGGGGGUGGAGCAGAGGUCAUUGGUGGAGGUGGUGGUUCUCUAGCACCUGAACUGGAGUCAUCCUGAAUAGGGACCGUUAUUAAAUUGCUGU
Molecule: long non-coding RNA, 704 nt
Filed under: Mus caroli (Ryukyu mouse)
Lineage: Eukaryota; Metazoa; Chordata; Mammalia; Rodentia; Muridae
Description: predicted gene 29542 (MGP_CAROLIEiJ_G0002771.1)
Source: RNAcentral